CCCAGGGCUGCCGCCCUGGGCUAUACUCUGCCAGCCCUUCGGUCUU
This 46-nucleotide small RNA is filed under the name Candidatus Brocadia sinica JPN1. Its description in RNAcentral is "Acido-Lenti-1 RNA". It matches the Rfam family "Acido-Lenti-1 RNA". The record is from Rfam by way of RNAcentral. Lineage: Bacteria; Pseudomonadati; Planctomycetota; Candidatus Brocadiia; Candidatus Brocadiales; Candidatus Brocadiaceae.